Molecule: long non-coding RNA, 478 nt
Organism: Humulus lupulus (European hop)
Lineage: Eukaryota; Viridiplantae; Streptophyta; Magnoliopsida; Rosales; Cannabaceae
Exons: 3
Source: RefSeq, a predicted model, not a curated record
UGUUAGAUAACCAUCCACUAUAGUUAUAGCUUUUAUAAUUUGGGAAAGCAAAGUUACUUUGAUUGGAUUUUAUCUCAUUUUAUGUUUAUGGCAAAGCCAAAACACAUCUUCACUAUGUGUCCGGUGUUACAUUUUCAAUAUCACACAAAUAUUUUCUAUAAAUUUUCACAUCUUAAGGGCAUAGCUGAAAGUGCAUUACAAAAAGAUAUAACUCUGGUUGUUGAGGGUUUGUUAGGAGUUGUCUUUACAGUGGCUGCAUUAACAGAUGAAGCAAUGGAUGUUGGUGAGCUUUAAUCUCCGAGAUGUGAUUCUAAUCCACCUAUUAUUAAGUGUAUCGGGAAAACAUCACAUCUCUGUCUCUCAAUGGUUGAUUCAUUUUGGUUGACCAUACUUGAUGCAUUGUCUCUUAUUUUGUCAAGGUCACAAGGAGAGGCUAUCGUGUUGGAAAUACUAAAGGGAUAUCAUGCAUUCACACAGG